Molecule: ribosomal RNA, 581 nt
Filed under: Nigrospora sphaerica
Lineage: Eukaryota; Fungi; Ascomycota; Sordariomycetes; Amphisphaeriales; Apiosporaceae
Description: eukaryotic LSU rRNA
Rfam family: 5.8S ribosomal RNA (bases 211-364)
Source: RNAcentral
GGGAAGUAAAAGUCGUAACAAGGUCUCCGUUGGUGAACCAGCGGAGGGAUCAUUACAGAGUUAUCCAACUCCCAAACCCAUGUGAACUUAUCUCUUUGUUGCCUCGGCGCAAGCUACCCGGGACCUCGCGCCCCGGGCGGCCCGCCGGCGGACAAACCAAAACUCUUGUUAUCUUAGUUGAUUAUCUGAGUGUCUUAUUUAAUAAGUCAAAACUUUCAACAACGGAUCUCUUGGUUCUGGCAUCGAUGAAGAACGCAGCGAAAUGCGAUAAGUAAUGUGAAUUGCAGAAUUCAGUGAAUCAUCGAAUCUUUGAACGCACAUUGCGCCCAUUAGUAUUCUAGUGGGCAUGCCUGUUCGAGCGUCAUUUCAACCCCUAAGCACAGCUUAUUGUUGGGAACCUACGGCUUCGUAGUUCCUCAAAGACAUUGGCGGAGUGGCAGUGGUCCUCUGAGCGUAGUAAUCUUUUAUCUCGCUUCUGUUAGGUGCUGCCCCCCCGGCCGUAAAACCCCCAAUUUUUUCUGGUUGACCUCGGAUCAUGUAGGAAUGCCCGCUGAACUUAAGCAUAUCAAUAAGCGGAGGAA